Pongo abelii (Sumatran orangutan) is the source of this 3133-nucleotide long non-coding RNA. The record is from Ensembl. NCBI's taxonomy places the organism in Eukaryota, Metazoa, Chordata, Mammalia, Primates, Hominidae.
AUUUCUCCGUGGACGAUGGCAGCCACGAUUCAGGCCAUGGAGAGGAAGAUUGAAUCGCAGGCUGCUCGCCUGCUUUCCCUAGAAGGUUGAACCAGGAUGGCCGAGAAGAAGCUGGCUGAUUGCGAGAAGACAGCCGUGGAGUUCGGGAACCAGCUGGAGGGCAAGUGGGCCGUGCUGGGAACCCUGCUGCAGGAGUACGGGCUGCUGCAGAGGUGGCUGGAGAACGUGGAGAACCUGCUGCGCAACAGGAACUUCUGGAUCCUGCGGCUGCGCCCGGGCAGCAAGGGCGGAGUCCCCUAAGACUACGCCAUCUCCAAGCCCGAGGUCCUCUCCCAGAUUGAACAAGAGAAGGAGCCCUGCAACUGGCGCCGCCCUGGCCCCAAGAUUCCAGAUGUUCCUGUGGACCCCAGUCCAGGGAGACCACAUCUCUGCAAGGCUCGACCCCUGAUUCCUCCAGAAGACCCGCCCUUGACCGUCCCACCUGCCUUGGUUUUGCCUUUCGUCUGACACUGAGAAAGGUGGUGUUCCACAGAGGCCCUCCUGUGCUCCACUUGUGUGAAAGUCUGAAUCUGCUCAAAGAACCUGCCUGCCUUGAUGAUAAGGGAACCCAAGCUUGAGAAAAGGACUCUGCCAAAAUAUCCAGUCGUGGACAGUGAAUCCUUCUGCCCGAUUUCCCAUGUUAGGCCCUUCAGCUGUUUGCCUGGAAACUACAUGGAGGAGUGGGAAAUAUCCACAUAAUUUGGGAUUAUUGGUGGCUCUGCUGCAUCUUGUGAAGCUUCUGGAGAUCCAGUAAUUUGGGUAACAUCAGAAUAUCCCAGAAAAGAACACAUCCUGCAUCUUGCUUUGUUUAGCUACCACCAUCAGAGGGGGCUCGAGAGACCACAGUUACUACCCAUGGUGUGCUCCUCUCACGCAAAAGGUUACAGACUACAAGGUUUUCAUCAUAUAAUAAUGAGAUGAGCCUUAGAGGACUGAUCAAAAGGUUCCAAUCAGCUUGCCCUUUACCUAUUCUUAUUUUUAUUUACUGAUUUUGGAAUCUGACUCCAGCUUCCUUUCCCUUGCUGGAGCCCGUGAUCUGUAUCUGUCUGCAUGGAGGAGAGAGAAGAGGUUGAUGGGAUCAGGUCAGUCCUCUGGGAAGUCCCAGCUGACUUCCUCCAUCAUCUCGCUCCUUGCCCACCGUCUCACAGAUCCUCCCAGAAUCCUGCUUUUCCCCAAUCCUUGGUCUGAGUAGGCCAGGGUGUGAGUCUGCAGCAGCCCCAGAUGGGAAAUCCAGAACCUGAGGGCACAGAGCCAAAGUCCAGGGUGCAGCAGACUAAGCUCAGAAAUCUAAGCUCAUUAGAUUUCUCAUGCCCAUUGAAGGUGGGCAUGAGACUGUGGCUGUUUCAGGUUCUCCUGUGCCACAGUGGAAGCUGGGUGCUGUGGAGAAUACAGCAGGACUUAGAGACAUGGCCCAGCCCUCUUGGGGAUCACGUGGAUGUCCCUGGGGAGAUUUUGGACUACUCUGCAGAAGUGCUGGAGUGGUACCCAGAGGGCUGCAGGAGGCAGGGGUCUGUGCCUUACAAACUUUUAAAGUCCAUAAAAUCAUUUGAGGACUAUUGAGUCUGCACUUCAGAGAUGUUGUGCAUCAGGGAUUAGAUAGGUUGUGUCAUUUUUCCCCAAGUGGGUGGAUUGGGUGGAGCUUAUGACCCAGGACCCACUUUGGUGAUUAAAAGUAAAACAGGGUAGGGGGCACCUGGAUUUGAACCAGGGACCUCUUGAUCUCUACUCAAAUGCUCUACCCCUGAGCCGUACACCCAGUCAUAGGAGGAUAGUGUAAUUAACACCAUUUUCGUGUGUCGACACACCAAGACCCAGCUCUGCCAGUUUGGAUGUCCAGGCCAGUUCUGUUUCUCUGAACUCUGGCCUCCCUCCUGUCCCUAAUACUUCUUUCUCCAUCAUCACUUCUGGCUAAGGACACCCUGGUGGCCUUGUUGACCUUUAUAAAUGGAGAGACCCUUCAGGUCAUCCAGAUAAUUCUCUUAGUAGCAAUUGUUGAGCAUCAUGUGAGGUGUGCUAGGCUGGGGACAGAACUGUAACUAGGUGACACCACCUUUCCCUGCACUGAAAGGAGACCCAGUGGCCAUGUCUGGAGACUUGUAUUUGACAUAGAAUACUGUUCGUGAUAAUUUGUCAAGUGAAAAGCAAAUUUCUUUUGUAUAUAAAAAAAAAAGAUACUCAAAAAAUAAUAGUCUUUUAAAAAUGUGGCACAGGUACACCAUGGAAUACUAUGCAUCCAUAAAAAAGAACGAGAUCAUGUCCUUUGGAGCAACAUGGAUGGAGCUGCAGGGCGUUAUCCUUAGCAAACUAACACAAGAACAGAAAACCAAAUACUGCAUGUUCUCACAAGUGGAAGCUAAAUGAUGAGAACACAUGGACACAGAAGGGGAACACUACACACUUGCACUUAGGGGGACAGGAGAGAAGAUCGAAAAAAUACAUAUGCAUAGUACAUGCCUGACGAAAUAAUCUGUACACCCAAUCUCCAAGACAUGAGUUUACCUAUAUGACAAACCUGCACAUGUACACCUGAACCUAAAAUAAAGUUAGAAAAAAAGAUUCUCUACAGAUUACCACUUGUAGGAAUUUAUCCUUCAAAAAUAUUCCUAUAAUUGCAUGAAGACACAUAUAUGUGGAGAUUCAUGGACAGUGGUUUUUAAAUUCCUCACAGCAAACACUGGAGACCAUCUAAAUAUCCAUUGGCAGGGAAUUGGUUAAAACCAGGCUUUGUCUCUUAACCUGGAGGGGAUGAGGAGAAGGUGAAGAUGCAGAGAAGCAGAGGAUGCUGAGGGGACUCUAUACCUUGGUCUUCUCAGUCAGGUAGAAAACAGGUCUUUCAAAGAGAAUAAAGGAGGUAGGGUGGGACUCAUUACUUGGCAAGAAGGGCAAAGCGUGAACCAGGCACUGUGGGAAAUGGAGAAUAGGUGAAUUAGAAAGGAAUAAAAUCAUUGCUCAUUAGGAGAGAGGCACUGGUUGAGGUCAGACUGGCAUAGAUUUGCAGUGGGACCAUUUGUCUGGCUGUACAAUUUAAUCCAGCAAAGACUGGCUCCUCCAGAGCAAAGGUGGGAAAGGCCAAUGGCAAAAGUGUAUCCGCAGA